Molecule: long non-coding RNA, 1991 nt
Filed under: Homo sapiens (human)
Lineage: Eukaryota; Metazoa; Chordata; Mammalia; Primates; Hominidae
Description: long non-coding RNA NONHSAT172972.1
Source: RNAcentral
GUUCAUUAUCUCCUAAUUUUUCAUCCAGGAAUUGAUGAAGAAUCACCUACUGCCUCUCCCACACACUGUUUAUUCUUUCAUUUGAUGAUAUCUGUUAAGUGCCCUGAGAUAUGUAACCUCCACUUCCCUCCCAUAUAAGUGAGAUUUCACGUUGAUUACUUCCUUGGCUUUCCUCAUCCCUUAUCCACAUAGCAUGUGUUCAAAAUAAUGAAUAUUAAUUUAAUGUUAAUAGAUAUGUGCUUUCCUGAAUUGUGAGGAUUAAAUGAAAUCAUGUAUAUAGGGAGGAAAAUCCAUUAGAAACCUCAAAAGCAGUUAUGUUUAUUUUUGCUAUUGUCACAUUGUUAGAGUCAGAAUUCUUUUAGCUGCAAGUGACAAAACCAACUCAAACUGGCUUAAGGACUUUAUUGGUUGAUGCAAAAAGCCUCGGGUUAGGUCUUGCCAUUUAAGGUAGGGCUGGAUCCAUCAAUCCGGGUUACCAGGAUCUGUUUUCUAGUUGUGGCUUCAUUUUCAGACAAGUUGUUUCCAUAUGAUAGCCUCAUAGAAGGUACUACCAGCUUAGUCCUAGCAAGAAAAAAGAGUACUUACUCUUCAAUAUUUGCAGCAGAAGUCCCAGGUCUGUUCUUAUGAGGGCAGUUUGAGUCACUUGCUCUUCUCUGAACGUGGAGAAGGCACUGUUUAGAUGAUGGAGGUUGGAUUCAGGUGCAUCCCCUGGAAUGGGGUUUGGCAUUAGCUUCACGUGGUCUAGAAUAAAGGGGUUCUCCAAAGGAAAAUUAGGGUAGGAAUGCUGAGUAAGCAGAACAAACAGAUGUCUACUUUAGUCCUUCCCAAAGGGUGAGCUGCAAUACAUUGCAGACUAUCAGAAUGGUGAUGAACACGGAUGCAGUAGCCAAGAAAAUAGAUGUGUGUUUGUCGUGGUCUUUUUCAGUCUUCAAGAUCUCAGUUAAACAUGAAGUCAACCACUCACUAUGAUGUUAUUUGAGGUUUAGCUUUGAAGUGGAAAUGUACCACAAAUAGUAGAGCCAGAUAAAUACAAAUAAAUAAUUUUAACAGUCCAUUCUAAAAGAUUUCUUUGGUAAUAUUCUGUUGGAAUUGAUUUCUAUCUUUUCAUUUGUUAGGUUCCUGGAAAGUGAAAAUUUCAUUUCUUUGUGGACAGGUACCUAAAAUGUCUCAUUAUUCAUCAAUUAAUGAAAAACAAAUGAAAAUUUGAGAGAGAUAUUCUGAAGAAUAAAAGGAUCAAGUUGGGUCAUUUCUAAAAUGUAAGAUUAUAAGGUUUAACUUGCUAAGACUUUUGAGGGGUUGAAUUAUUGGUAAAUUAUUAUAGAACCACUUAUCUGAGGCUUUUAAAAGUGAUGUGUUACAGAGAUUUAGGGAACUGCAAGAUUGCAGAUAAAGAAUUUAUACUGUCAACUGUUCUAUACUUUACCUUCUGCUUUAAAUGCGGCCUUAUAUUUUGAAGUCAAACAUUUAUUUUCUCUCACUGCGUUCUGAAUUUCCUACCACAGUGCAUUUUGAGAAAUGAAUAUAACAGCAGUCUUCAUAGAUGCCAUAUUCAUGGCAACUCUGUCCCCCGCCAACACCACACCCUGGAAAAAAACCAACUUUCUAUUGUUGGAAUGAGGUAACAUUUUCAGGAAAAGGGAACCAUUUUCUCACAGGAUAUAGAACAAAUUCAACCUUUUAUUAAAUCAAAAUGGAUUCUCUAAUGUUUAUACAUAUCAUAUAGGAUUUCAUCUCUUUCAAUCUUGGUUCAAAGGCCCAGACAGUACCAUUCCCUAGUAUUUAGUCCAUUUGCUCAUAAAGCAGAAGAGAAAAGCUACUUUGUUCCGAAGGGUGUUAGAUUUAGGAUUCCAAGGUUAUUUCAAAUUAAUGCCUGGAACUAGACUAUAAAAUGCAGGAAAGAUUCUAAGUUGUUCAAAGAUGAAAUAUCUUAACUUUCACCAAAAACUCUGUCUUCUGGGUAUUUUUUGUUUUUCUGCCUUUCCAGAUUUAUU